RNAcentral lists this ribosomal RNA (468 nucleotides) under uncultured bacterium. RNAcentral describes it as "partial 16S ribosomal RNA". It matches the Rfam family "Bacterial small subunit ribosomal RNA", at positions 28 to 507 of the family's 1533-position model. The record is from RNAcentral.
GACGAACGCUGGCGGCGUGCUUAACACAUGCAAGUCGAACGGAAAGGCCCUGCUUUUGUGGGGUGCUCGAGUGGCGAACGGGUGAGUAACACGUGAGUAACCUGCCCUUGACUUUGGGAUAACUUCAGGAAAUUGGGGCUAAUACCGGAUAGGAGCUCCUGCUGCAUGGUGGGGGUUGGAAAGUUUCGGCGGUUGGGGAUGGACUCGCGGCUUAUCAGCUUGUUGGUGGGGUAGUGGCUUACCAAGGCUUUGACGGGUAGCCGGCCUGAGAGGGUGACCGGCAACAUUGGGACUGAGAUACGGCCCAGACUCCUACGGGAGGCAGCAGUGGGGAAUAUUGCAAAAUGGGCGAAAGCCUGAUGCAGCAACGCCGCGUGCGGGAUGACGGCCUUCGGGUUGUAAACCGCUUUCGCCUGUGACGAAGCGUGAGUGACGGUAAUGGGUAAAGAAGCACCGGCUAACUACGUG